GAUGAACGCUAGCGGCAGGCUUAACACAUGCAAGUCGAGGGGCAGCAUAAUGGAUAGCAAUAUCUAUGGUGGCGACCGGCGCACGGGUGCGUAACGCGUAUGCAACCUACCUUUAACAGGGGGAUAACACUGAGAAAUUGGUACUAAUACCCCAUAAUAUCAUAGAAGGCAUCUUUUAUGGUUGAAAAUUCCGAUGGUUAGAGAUGGGCAUGCGUUGUAUUAGCUAGUUGGUGGGGUAACGGCUCACCAAGGCGACGAUACAUAGGGGGACUGAGAGGUUAACCCCCCACACUGGUACUGAGACACGGACCAGACUCCUACGGGAGGCAGCAGUGAGGAAUAUUGGUCAAUGGACGCAAGUCUGAACCAGCCAUGCCGCGUGCAGGAGGACGGCGCUAUGAGUGGUAAACUGCUUUUGUACGAGGGUAAACGCAGAUACGUGUAUCUGUCUGAAAGUAUCGUACGAAUAAGGAUCGGCUAACUCCGUG
RNAcentral lists this ribosomal RNA (488 nucleotides) under uncultured bacterium. RNAcentral describes it as "partial 16S ribosomal RNA". It matches the Rfam family "Bacterial small subunit ribosomal RNA", at positions 28 to 507 of the family's 1533-position model. The record is from RNAcentral.